CUAAGAAUAUUCCGCAAUGGACGGAAGUCUGACGGAGCGACGCCGCGUGGAUGAAGAAGGCCGAAAGGUUGUAAAGUUCUUUUGCUGGGGAAGAAUAACCGCAGGAGGGAAUGCCUGUGGGAUGACAAGAACCGGCGAAUAAGCCCCGGCCAACUACGUGCCAGCAGCCGCGGUAACACGUAGGGGGCGAGCGUUGUUCGGAAUUACUGGGCGUAAAGGGCAUGUAGGCGGCUUGGAAAGCCUGGCGUGAAAGUCUGCAUCUUAACUGCAGGGGUGCGCUGGGAACUGCUGAGCUUGAGUGACGGAGAGGGAGCUGGAAUUCCUGGUGUAGGGGUGAAAUCUGUAGAUAUCAGGAAGAACGCCGAUGGCGAAGGCAAGCUCCUGGCCGAUGACUGACGCUGAGGUGCGAAAGUGUGGGGAUCAAACAGGAUUAGAUACCCUGGUAGUCCACACAGUCAACGAUGUGCACUAGGUGCUGGGGCGGUAGCUUCGGUGCCGGAGCGAACGUGGUAAGUGCACCGCCUGGGGAGUAUGCUCGCAAGGGUG
RNAcentral lists this ribosomal RNA (546 nucleotides) under uncultured bacterium. RNAcentral's name for it is "partial 16S ribosomal RNA". It matches the Rfam family "Bacterial small subunit ribosomal RNA", at positions 355 to 896 of the family's 1533-position model. The record is from RNAcentral.